AAUUAAAAAAUUGGCGCUGAUUUUUCCCCAGAUUUCCCCCCUAAACGAAAAAAAUCCCAAAAUUCCCCCUAAAAUGGAAUCAAGUGGGAAGUGUAGGAAAAAAGUAGUUGAAAGUUUUGAGUUUUGCUUCGUUGAUUUUCUUUUUGUUUCACAUUUUCCUACUGACCAAACAAAGGCGCUUGAGAAGCUGUUAAAAGAUCAUGCUGGAAAAUAUGCGACUGGAGAUGAAGUUUCCAUGGGGGUGCUUCCUGCAGCAAUAUGUGAUUAAGAAAAUGUAAAUCAGGCAGAUCUGUUUCUAGCACCACAGAUUCUGGUUGGGAUUGAACGAUUCAAUGUUGACAUGGAAACAAGAAGAGCCUGGUUGAUGCUAUUGAGAAAGGGAUUGAUCUAUGCAAACAAAUACCAGAACUGUAUAAUGAUUAUUACCAUGGCGGACUGAUGAAGUUAGUGGUAAUUGGUGGUGAGUCUUUGGAUGUACUUCAGCACUGGGUUGUUGAAUUAUUUUCUGACGUCAGACAAGGUUCUCAAGGAAAGCCAGAGUUUAAGGUGGAAGGUCCUGUCUGGAGAGCUGGUAAACUUUACAGGUUAGAGGCAGUUAAGGAUGUCCAUAUCCUUGAAUUAAGGUGGGCACUGCCUUGUCUUUUGCAAGCGUAUCUGCAGAAACCAGAAGAUUAUCUGGCUCAUCUUCUUGGCCAUGGUAUGUAAUUCUGUGUUAUCCUAAUGCUUAAGUAGUACGUUGCUCAUGGAAAUAAUAAUAACAAAGAAAAGGAUGCAUGUGCAAAUAUGAAGAAAAUGUGAACUGUCCAGUUUUGAUGCCUUAAAAGUAAUAAGUUAUUCUUGAUUUGCCUGUAAAUGUGGAUGCUAUUUUUCAUUUGCUUCAAUUUCUAUGCUUGCUUAUAUGCAUAUAUGCAUGUCCAUCGUCAGUCUGUGUUCCUUUUAAUCAUUGAUGGAUUCAGGGUCGAUGUUUCUUAUUUUGGCUUUUUCAAGUUUUCAUCCAUUGAUUGAUGUUUGUAAGUAAGUAUUUCUUGAUUUUAGUUGUUGCACUUAAUUUCUUAUUUCAUAUCUUAAGUUACUGGCUUUAUUCACAAAUAUUUGUUUGGCAAGUGGUGAAGUUUUAUGACUUUGUUUCUUGUUUUUUAAAUAAAUAUACUUAUGGGACACCCAUGUCACACAUACUUUUUGUUCAACUUAAUAAUCAUGUAUGAAAGCUUAUCUUUUGAUGUUUAAUUCAUCUUUUUGUGUGCAAUGUUGCAUGUCAUGACAUUGAAGUCGAUGUUGGAGUGUUCAAGAGUAGCAAGUUAUGUUACUACAUCUUAUAGAAUUGUUUGGUUUUUUCUUUUCUUUUGAAAUUAGAGUUUCUGCAGUAAUUUAUUCUUUUAUAAUAAAUAUUCUCUAAAAGGUAAAUGGAUUGUCAUAAAACUGUUUUAUUCUUAUUAGCAAGAAGUGAACUCCCGACCUAAUGAUUAAGAUAUUGUUUGGUUUUUAUCAUAAAAUUUUGCUCUCAAUUCAAUAGAUGGAAUACAUGUGGACAUCAGACGGUUUGGAUUAAGUUGCUUCAAUUUUUGUAUUAUUUUAAAUAUAUUAAGUGAGUUAUAUUUAAGUAUUUCAAUUAAGUUGCUACUUUUUGUUUAUAUUUAUAAUUUUAUUAUUUAAAAAUUUUAAUUUAAAUUAAAAUUAAGUAUUAAAAAGUCGAAUUUGAGAUUGGGAAUUGAACUUCAGCUAAUUACAAUUAGCUAUGAGUUUAAUGAAGUAAACUUGAGAAAUUUUAACUUUUAUUUUGAUUUAAAAUUAGAAUUUAAAAAUAAAAUUCAAAAUUACAAUUUUGCAUUAAGCUUGAGUCAUGUAAUGUCAGCCUUUCAUUUCCCGCCUUAGUUACGACCCAGCAACAAAGUUUUUUUUAGAAAAUAAGGCAAUGUUUUGAUAAAUUGGAAAAUGAAGUUUUGGUAUGCUAUGGUCUGCAUUAGUUUCCUUUUGCUUAUUUGGACUUUGAAUGUACAUUUCUGGUAACUUUUGUUUAUGAUUUAUCAGGAUAAGAAAAGAAUAUUUUGUUUCUUCCUUUUACUGUUUUAUGUUUAUGGUAGAUGUAAUGGGACUUGCGAGUGCAUGAUGUUAAAAUUUAGUCACAGAUUGACAAUUAUACUAACAUCAAUUGAAUUAAAAUUUAGUCGGCAUAUAUGAAUAAAAAAGUUUGACUUGCGAGUGCAUGAUGUUAAAAUUUUUUGAUAAAUGAUCGUUUAUUUUGCCAAGAAAAUUGGUCAGAAGUGAGCGUUUUGAUUUUUAAAUCUUUUUUAGCGUUUUGAAUUUUAGGAAUUAUAUAUAUAAACAGAUAAUAUUACGGUUGCCCGAUGACUCAGAAGUGAGCGAUGAACUAUGGGAUGAGGUGAUAGAGUUAAUGAAAUUUCGGGUGGUGGACAAGGUUCCGUUAAUUCGUACGCUUGCAGUUCGGGUGCUUUCACGAUUUGUAAAUGAUUCUGAAAAUAGCAACAUUCUUGAUUUAUUUCUCGAAGUCCUUCCAUUGGAGUAGAACUCGGUCAGUGUGUAAACUUAUAUAUUGCUUCUGUUGUCUCGAUGAGUUGCGUGAUUUGUUAUUGUUCCUAUUCUCUUGGCUCCAAUUUUUUUGGUUCAAAACUUGAUGUCUAAGUGUAUGCUUGAGUAUUUGGCAAUCAAUCCUGUGAAAUAGUUUCUAGUUAAGGUGGCAUAGAAGCAUAUAGUCCAGGCAUAAUCUGUUCUUACAAUUUAUGAUUGUUUUUUGGUUUCUCCUCUCCACAAAUUGUCUAAUGUAUUUGGCAGAAUGAGAUACAUGCAUUUCUCUAUGUGGAUGGGUAACCUGUAUCUUUGAUUUGAGGCAUAGUUUGAUGACAGCAUAACUUAUUGCUGAAGUUAUACAGCCACGUUGUUUACAUGCUGAUGACCAGUUUUGACGUUUAAGAUUUCAGAAUUGAGAUGGAUUUUCAGCUUGGAAGAUGUAUAGAGCCUGGAGAAGUUUAUGAUAAAUAAUGUGCUUGUUGUUGCACUUAUAUUAAAUAUUGUACCCUUUUCUGCGAAAUUGUUGUAUUUUGAAAUAUCUUUUAAGAUUAAGGAACUAUACUAAAUGCGGUCACAAAACUUAUGUAAUUCUAAUAUAAAAUGUAAACAAUUUUCUUAUGUAAUUCUAAUAUAGAAUGUAUCUUGUUUUAA
Molecule: RNA transcript, 3177 nt
Organism: Gossypium raimondii (Peruvian cotton)
Lineage: Eukaryota; Viridiplantae; Streptophyta; Magnoliopsida; Malvales; Malvaceae
Gene name: nardilysin-like
Exons: 6
Source: RefSeq, a predicted model, not a curated record